This is a non-coding RNA of Doryrhamphus excisus (bluestripe pipefish), 4720 nucleotides long. The record is from RefSeq and is a predicted model, not a curated record. Lineage: Eukaryota; Metazoa; Chordata; Actinopteri; Syngnathiformes; Syngnathidae.
UUUUAUGUUACUUUAAAAGCCCCCCCCCCCCCCGUCUAAAGUGAAGACAAUAAAUAUGUUGAACCACUUUCAAUCCUAAAAUGGAUUACAGAAUCCAAAAUGCUCAACAACAUUCAACCAAUAACAAAAGUAAAUUUCAUUUUCCAUAACUGGCUGUUUUGAUUGCACGUGACACCACGUGUAGAAAAACCCGUGACAAAGAUUAGCGUCAACAUACCCCAGACGGCCAUAUUGGUGAAACCAAUCCUAGCACCUUUCAGAAGUCACCUUCGAUCCUAGCGUUUGUCACCCUGUCAAGUUCCCGUCAUCCUGGCCAAAGGCGACAGGCCACCAAGUUCCUUUGAAACCGCAUCGCAUGCGGAAUGAAAAUGAAUGAUGCAUUUACACUCGUUUCCUAGCCGAGCCGUGGGUGGGCUAACCCUAACCCGGGGCCACAACAUCCUGGAGUAUUCUCCCCACCCGUCCACCUUUGCUCCAACAGCGUCAGGACUUGAACACACCACACCGCUCAUCAUGUCGAGAUGAGAACCUCAACCGCUGUGGUAUCGAUUAAGAUAUGUGACUGUGAUUAAUCACAUUUGGUCCAUAUUUAACUCACAAUUAAUCACAUUUCAUCACCGGUAUGAAAACGGUUUUGUCAAAGUAGGAUAAGAAGAGUAAAUAUCUUUGUGCUAAAUGUUUCGAUGUGCCACUACCAGGAUAAUUCCAUCCAAUUUUAUAGAAAAGGAUAUCAAUUUCAGAACUAGGAGCCAUUAUUUAAAACGAUAGUCAGCAAGCGUAUUUUUGUAUUACUAUUUUUCUUUAUUAUUAGCAUAUUAGCUCUUAACCGCGCCCACAAACGUGAGUGUGAGCAAUUGAGACCUCUCACUCUGACACAAACAUGUUUUUUUGCUGACACUUUCAGCUCCAAAUAAGAUGAGUUUAUUUAUGAUACUGGGUCAGACGUCAUAUUGGACUGGGUUGGGAUUCAGCCGCCAACCUGGUCGCUAACUGCUGAGCUAAGCUAGCCAUUGCUACUAAUUCAUGAUGAAAGAAGAGGCAUGCGUUCCUCUGUGAAAGGAUCGAGUCAGAGUUUUCACCAGGCCACAAACACGUUUGCUACCAACGUCUGGCUGAGCACCAACCCAGAGACACCCGUGAUGCCACCCAUCCAAACGUUUCUCCGCGGUCAUUCCCUCCACGCUGUGGCACUGGCUAACGCGCUAACGCUAUCUGCAUCCACGGUGGGAGUUUUCCCGUGACGCCUCGGGUCGCUGAAAGUCAAUUUCCGCGUGACGUCUCGGGUCGCUGAAAGUCGAGUCUUCGCGUGACGUCUCGGGUCGCUGAAAGUCGAGUCUUCGCGUGACGUCUCGGGUCGCUGAAAGUCGAGUCUUCGCGUGACGUCUCGGGUCGCUGAAAGUCGAGUCUUCGCGUGACGUCUCGGGUCGUGGAAAGUGGGCAAAGGCCACUCUUAUUUUUGAAGGUGAUGGGCAUGCGUGAAGAAUGUGUGUUCACGGAUAGGAUGAGCAUGCUUGUGGUGUUCUCUCCAGAUGACAACAUUCAUCCACAUGAUGUCACUUUGUGUCCCUUCGACCUUCCUUGGGCUUUUCUCUCGUUCAGGACAAAUAGCACCCAGCAAAAGGAGUCCUGGGACUGGCCCACGUGCGGGUGCAAGCAUAUUGGUAACCCGUUUGUCUUCCUGUGUCAUGCAGAUGUCAGUGAAGAACAUCUUCCCCUUGAGCAGCACGACUGGAGCUCCAUGAUGGGGCAGGAGGAGCCCCGGCCCCCCCACGUUAAAGAGGAAGAGGGUGAACCAGGACAGGAGGAGGUCCCAGUGAUUGGCGUCCUCGUGAAGAGUGAGGAUGAAGAAGAAGCCGAUGGAGACCACUGUGGAGGAUCACCAGCAGACAAGCUCUUAGCUCCACUAUCAGAUAGUGAGCACACAACGUCACACUCUCCUGACACUGAUGAUGAUGAUGAUGAAGACUCUACAGCUGAUAUGACAUGUCACCCUGACAACACACGCUUGAAAUGCCACCACUGUGACAAGAGCUUCCAUUCCCGUUGUUAUCUAAAAAGACACAUGAGGACACACACGGGGGAGAAACCAUUUAUGUGCUCAGUUUGCGGUAAAAGAUUUUCUCAGAAGCCACACUUGCAAGAACACGCUAGGAUACACACUGGGGAGAAACCUUUUGCCUGCUCAGUGUGCAAUAAAAGGUUCACCCAUCGCUCAACUUGGAUAAGACACGCAGGAACGCACGCUGGAGAAAAACCAUAUGCCUGCUCAGUCUGUAAUAAGGAAUUCUUUCAAAAGUCACUUUUGAAAGAACACUCCAAAGUACACACUACAGAGAAACCUUUCGCCUGCACAGUCUGUGGCAAAGGAUUCUUUGACAAUUCACACCUGAAAGAACACUUAAGAACACACACUGGGGAGAAACCUUUUGCCUGCUCAGUGUGUCACCAAACAUUUUCUCAAAAGUCGCAUCUGAAAGAGCACUCCAGAAGACACACCGGGGAGAAACCGUUUGCCUGCUCCGCCUGCCACCAAACCUUCUCUCAAAAGUCGUCUUUGUUAAAACAUAGGAGGAUGCACUCUGGGGAGACACCUUUUCCUUGCACAACGUGCGGUAAAAGAUUCAGUCAUCGGUCUACCUGGCUGAGACAUGCCAGAACGCACACGCAAGAAAAACCGUUCGCCUGUUCAGCCUGUGGGAAAGGAUUCUUUCAGAAGUCACAUUUGGAAGAGCACACGAGGACGCACACCGGGGAGAAACCUUUUUCCUGCUCUGUCUGUCGCCAAACCUUCUCCCAAAAGUCCUAUUUAAUAAUACACGCAAGAACGCACACCGGGGAGAAACCUUUUGUCUGCUCAGUGUGUGAUAAAAGAUUCAGUUACCGCUCAAAUUGGUUAAGACACACGAGAACGCACACUGAAGAGAAACCGUACGCUUGUUCAGUUUGCAACAAAAGAUUCUCUCAAAAUGAAUAUUUGAUAGCGCACCGAAAAACACACAAGGGCGCCAAAGACGGCGUCCAUAAUGGGUUACCUUUGGCGAAACACACGGGCGACCAUAUUGAUGACACUGACCCCUGAGUGUGCUGACGCUGAUUGUAAAGAUGGUGCUGCAUGCGUGGAGACACACAUGCACGUGCUGGGUUGAUGCCUUCAGCUUCCACGGUAGACAUGACUUAAGUGUUCAUGUGAUUUCUUUCCUAAAUGAGGUCAGGGGUCGGCAACCUUUACUAUGAGAGCCAUUUUACCUCGUUGCCCACUAAAGGAGCCGCAAAACAUGGAUUUAAGACAAGGUCUCCUAAAGUCUAAGAAGAGAAUAGAAGUGCAGUGACUGUGCAUGUGUAAGGGAUGCCAACCAGUAGGUUAGCAUGCUAUCAUCUUGAUUCAAAGGGAAUGUGUAAGGGAUGCCAACCAGUAGGUUAGCAUGCUAUCAUCUUGAUUCAAAGGGAAUGUGUAAGGGAUGCCAACCAGUAGGUUAGCAUGCUAUCAUCUUGAUUUAACGAGAAUGUGUAAGGGAUGCCAACCAGUAGGUUAGCAUGCUAUCAUCUUGGUUUAACGGGAAUGUGUAAGGGAUGCCAACCAGUAGGUUAGCAUGCUAUCAUCUUGGUUUAACGAGAAUGUGUAAGGGAUGCCAACCAGUAGGUUAGCAUGCUGUCAUCUUGGUUUAACGAGAAUGUGUAAGGGAUGCCAACCAGUAGGUUAGCAUGCUAUCAUCUUGGUUUAACGAGAAUGUGUAAGGGAUGCCAACCAGUAGGUUAGCAUGCUAUCAUCUUGGUUUAACGAGAAUGUGUAAGGGAUGCCAACCAGUAGGUUAGCAUGCUAUCAUCUUGAUUCAAAGGGAAUGUGUAAGGGAUGCCAACCAGUAGGUUAGCAUGCUAUCAUCUUGAUUCAAAGGGAAUGUGUAAGGGAUGCCAACCAGUAGGUUAGCAUGCUAUCAUCUUGAUUCAAAGGGAAUGUGUAAGGGAUGCCAACCAGUAGGUUAGCAUGCUAUCAUCUUGGUUUAACGAGAAUGUGUAAGGGAUGCCAACCAGUAGGUUAGCAUGCUAUCAUCUUGAUUCAACAAGAAUGUGUAAGGGAUGCCAACCAGUAGGUUAGCAUGCUAUCAUCUUGAUUCAAAGGGAAUGUGUAAGGGAUGCCAACCAGUAGGUUAGCAUGCUAUCAUCUUGAUUCAAAGGGAAUGUGUAAGGGAUGCCAACCAGUAGGUUAGCAUGCUAUCAUCUUGGUUAAACCAAGAUUCUUUUAGCUGGUGACCAACAGCUGGGAUGAGAUCACAUGUUGAGCCGAUUGAGGCUCCCAUGGUCAAAUUUGGGGGUAUCAAAGUAGUUCAGAUAAGAAAAGACAAGUUGUAGUACUCUUGCUAGUAUUGGAGAUAAACUUCCAUAAAUGUAUGUGCCAAUUACUUACUUACUUCAACUUACAUGAUUCGUUUGCUCUGCUGUUUUUUUUUAAACGAUCUGUCAUGUAUUUUUGAGAAAUGUCAAAACGCUCUAGGAAAGUACAACGUUUGUCCUCCAUGUUUACCUGAGAGGGAGAGAACGGAAUAUCAUCCAAUCACCAGUCAGAACUCAGCCAGGAUGCCUUCAUGGUCCUGCAGAAAGUAGGAUUGUUUUUUAAGCUCAUUACAAAAAUGUGCAUUUUCCCUACUCGGGUGUUAAAAAAAAAGUUUAAGCAUUGCAAAGGGAGCCACAUGCGGCUCUGGAGCCAUGGUUUGCUGACCCCUGA